This 219-nucleotide long non-coding RNA is filed under the name Mytilus galloprovincialis (Mediterranean mussel). Lineage: Eukaryota; Metazoa; Mollusca; Bivalvia; Mytilida; Mytilidae. The record is from RNAcentral.
UAAGCCUGUUUCACGUACUUGCAGAUAAGAUGAAUUUGGUAUAUGAAUAAAAGAAGAUGUAGUAUGAAUCUCACUGAGACAGCAAUCAGAAAACAAAAAAUAAUGUCAAGAUCAAAAUCAACAACAAAGCUGAAUGUGUCUUUACAAUUGUAUCUUGUACAUUAAUAGAACUAAUCACACUUUGCAUAUAGAUGUUAUCAGUAGCAUAACAUUUUUUAA